Molecule: long non-coding RNA, 832 nt
Organism: Orbicella faveolata
Lineage: Eukaryota; Metazoa; Cnidaria; Anthozoa; Scleractinia; Merulinidae
Source: RefSeq, a predicted model, not a curated record
UUCGGGCCAGAAUAAAUUGGCCGUAAUAACAAGGCCGUAUUAACAGGGCGACCGUAAGGUGGGGUACCACUGUACAUCUUUCGGGUGUUUCCUCCGGGACUUAUGUAUUAUUUCGAUCAGUCAAUAUGUCCACCGCUGUGUUUCAAAAUGGUCGCGUCCAAAGUUUGAUCAGGCAUCACGCACGGACCAGUGGAUUCGUUAGAGCAAGUGUCUCAGUAAGAGGUGAACUCCUCAGUGAGAUCUGCGGGAGACUGAGAACCUGUGAUCAACCCACACCUAGUCUGAGUACCACCUCUGGUGAAUAAUAAGAAUAUCACCCGGGAAUAUCAGACCGCUCAAAGUUAAAGAGCUCAAGCUGGUUGAUAGGUCAAACUUCCCACGUACCAAAUAUUACGAGAACCACUUUCUGGGUCAGUUUUGCCGCCUCGUGCAGAAUGUGAAAAUUCGCAUGGCAACUGAAAGUUGAGUUUACUAACAGUGAAAUAUUUUACCAAGUGCCUCAAGCACCUACUAAAUCAAGGCACGAUUCGAUUUAUUUUUACAGACAAUUCUUUGAUCCUCAAAAACAUGCCAAGAUCCAUAUGGUCUCGCCGACAAUAAUGGUUUGAUUUAGCCAAACAAAGCAAAGCAACGGGCAGGAACUCUAAGGAAGUGACAAAGUCAAGCGAGGGCGAGAACGGAAGGCUGAAUGAAAAGAUAGACCCAGGGCAAAGCACAUAAAAAGAUGGAGGUCAAAGCAUAAGUUACACCCCCAAAUGGCAAGGCCCACAAGAGAUCAAUUCGUCGUCAGGAGCGAGAAGGCAGUCCAAAAUGCUACCACUGUGACAGGGAC